GGUCCAGGCUGGCGGUCCGACGCCUGUCGGUUACUGCCUGCUCCUGACCUACCUCCCGGUUUUUCGCCCUUGGUGCUCUUGACUGAGUGUCUCGGGUGGCCGGAACGUUUACUUUGAAAAAAUUAGAGUGUUCAAAGCAGGCAAUAUCGCCUGAAUAAUGGUGCAUGGAAUAAUGGAAUAGGACCUCGGUUCUAUUUUGCUGGUUUUCGGAGCUCGAGGUAAUGAUUAAGAGGGACUGACGGGGGCAUUCGUAUUACGGUGUUAGAGGUGAAAUUCUUGGAUCGCCGUAAGACGAACUACUGCGAAAGCAUUUGCCAAGCAUGUUUUCAUUAGUCAAGAACGAAAGUCAGAGGUUCGAAGACGAUCAGAUACCGUCGUAGUUCUGACCAUAAACGAUGCCAACUAGCGAUCCGCCGGAGUUGCUUCAAUGACUCGGCAGGCAGCCCCCGGGAAACCAAAGUUUUUGGGUUCCGGGG
RNAcentral lists this ribosomal RNA (476 nucleotides) under Mytilus edulis (blue mussel). Its description in RNAcentral is "SSU rRNA". It matches the Rfam family "Eukaryotic small subunit ribosomal RNA", at positions 643 to 1119 of the family's 1831-position model. Lineage: Eukaryota; Metazoa; Mollusca; Bivalvia; Mytilida; Mytilidae. The record is from RNAcentral.